AUGAGACGGAAGAUGACUGGGAACAUGAAAAGAGCCCUGAUGGUGUUACUGCUCAUCUCUGUGCUGAACUUCUCAACUGCUUUUCCUAUGGAGCCACUUCAGAAGACACCUCUACUGAUCCAACCAUCAGAUCCACGGCCGUCAGAAAGUGUAACACUAGGAAGCUCACAGGUGAGAAGCAUGUUUAUGAUGUUACAUAAUCAAACCUAUUUGUAUAUGGAAUAUUACAGCUGUGCUGACGUUUGUAGGAUGUGAGGGUCAGCAGUCUUGGAUUCCGUAUGAAAAGAGCCAAUUCUGCUAACACAAAGAAACCGGCUCGUUACUGUGCUGGAUGCUUUUCUGUCAUUGGAGACCCAACGAGACCAGAGAAAUGAAAUCUGCUGUAUUUCUGAAUGAAUAACCCUAAAUAUGAAUAUCUUUCAGUUUCUGUUAGAAUCUGUUUAUGCAACUAUAUUUUAGUGUACUAUUCUAGACUGUCAUGUCUUAAGAUUUUGCAUGACUUUGCACUUUUUAAAAAAAUGAAAUAUUCAAUAAAAUCUCAGUAAAAUUAGCGUAAAUUCAGGACUGUUUUUCUUUAAAAACAUCACCUAUUUGUACUAGAAAUGUCAGUUGCCUAUUGACUUUUGUUAUAGCUUUUGUGCUUUUUUCUCAUGCAUGCAGUAAAUGCGAUAUUUGAGGAUUUCCUAAACAAAGAAAUGAUAGUUCAGAACGAUAACAUGGAUUUGAAGUAACGUCUAAGUGGCUGUUUCAUAGACGUGUCAUUAUAACCACAAAGUGUUAUUAUCGUGUUAAGGAGCUUCAGUUUUGACCAUAGUCAAUUAUUCAUAUCUCCCACACUAUGAUUUAUGGCUUUGCUACCCAUGGGAGUAAAAUAGGAUAUAGGCACAUCUAGUGCAUGACACUAUAAUUAAAUGCUUAUUUAAUCUUGGCCAAACUAUAUGCAAUUCAAAAGGUUGUAUGCAAUCAUGCAAUCUUCAAUAUUUGAGCAGAUGGAAAAUGUAAACACAG
This 1008-nucleotide long non-coding RNA is filed under the name Sinocyclocheilus grahami. Its description in RNAcentral is "lncRNA (ENSSGRG00000031116.1)". The record is from RNAcentral. Lineage: Eukaryota; Metazoa; Chordata; Actinopteri; Cypriniformes; Cyprinidae.